UGCAAGUCGAGCGGACAGAAGGGAGCUUGCUCCCGGAUGUUAGCGGCGGACGGGUGAKUAACACGUGGGUAACCUGCCUGUAAGACUGGGAUAACUCCSGGAAACCGGAGCUAAUACCGGAUAGUUCCUUGAACCGCAUGGUUCAAGGAUGAAAGACGGUUUCGGCUGUCACUUACAGAUGGACCCGCGGCGCAUUAGCUAGUUGGUGGGGUAAUGGCUCACCAAGGCGACGAUGCGUAG
This 240-nucleotide ribosomal RNA is filed under the name Bacillus sp. MBA2.18. Its description in RNAcentral is "partial 16S ribosomal RNA". It matches the Rfam family "Bacterial small subunit ribosomal RNA", at positions 56 to 286 of the family's 1533-position model. Lineage: Bacteria; Bacillati; Bacillota; Bacilli; Caryophanales; Bacillaceae. The record is from RNAcentral.